Molecule: non-coding RNA, 3297 nt
Organism: Camelina sativa (false flax)
Lineage: Eukaryota; Viridiplantae; Streptophyta; Magnoliopsida; Brassicales; Brassicaceae
Source: RefSeq, a predicted model, not a curated record
CUAAUUAAUUUCAAUAUUUUAAUUUCUUUCAUCUUCUUCUUCUUCUUCUCCUCUAUAUAUCAAAUCUUUUUACGUUUCUUCUUCUUUGGUAUAGAGGUCCCCGCGAAUAAUUCCAAUCUUUUCAGAUCAUAGAUUAGAUUUGCGUCUCACCUAAUUUCACAAGCCAAUAAACCCUAAUUUAGUGAUCUACCUGAUUCGAUCAAAGUUCCGAUUUCUUUUUUUUUUUUCCUUGUGCUAAAAUAUAGUUUUCCAUGAAGAAGGUGCUUAAUAGAGGUUUUAAGCCUGCUAAAUGCAAGACAGCUAUGCAGAUGGCGAAUUCACGGCUCAAGAUACUCAAGAACAAAAAGGAGAUUCAGAUUAAACAGCUUAGGAGAGAAUUAGCACAAUUGCUCGAGUCUGGACAUACCCCUACUGCUCGAAUUCGGGUGGAACAUGUGGUUAGGGAAGAGAAGACAAUGGCUGCUUAUGAGCUCAUUGGCAUAUAUUGUGAACUUCUUGUUGUUCGUUUGGGUGUUAUCGAGUCUCAAAAGAACUGCCCCAUUGAUUUGAAAGAAGCUGUCUCGAGUGUCUUAUUUGCUUCCCAGAGGUUAUCAUCAGAUGUCCCUGAGCUCUCAGAAAUCGUUAAGCAAUUCACUACCAAGUACGGGAAGGAUUUUGCUACGUCUGCUAUUGAGUUGCGUCCAGAUUCUGGUGUGAGUCGCCUGCUGGUGGAAAAAUUGUCUGCCAAAGCCCCCGAUGGUCCAACUAAGGUCAAAAUUCUGAUGGCAAUCGCUGAGGAGCAUAAUGUCGUCUGGGAGGCACAAUCUUUUGUUGAACCAGAUCCAAAAGAUGCGCUGUUGAAUGGAGCAAGCUCGUUUCAGCCAGCGAGUACUAUGAACAUGGACUCAUCUAUAAAAUCAAACAAGGAACAGCCUCCAAACGUUCAAGCUCCAACCACUGUCAAUGCUCAACAUGGAUCAAGUGAAAGAAGACAUCAUUCCCCAGAGAACUCGUAUGCAAAUGGUGGAAGAUCUUCAAGCCGUGCCAAUAUUGUUACUUCUGGGAAGGCUGAUGACUACUAUCAUCCAGAUCCAAGACCUUCUCGUUCUAGGACUGAUGAAGGAGAGUGUAGAAAUCCAAAUCAUGGCUAUGAAAAUUCAUCUUCAAGAAGAAAUCAUAGGUGGGAAACAGAAUUUGUUGAUUCUACAGAUGCUGCACGUGCCGCUGCUGAAGCUGCUGAGAGAGCAAGUUUCGCUGCAAGAGCAGCUGCUAAACUUUCGAGCAAAGAAAGGAUGACGAGGCAGGAUACAUCGGAGUCGCAUAUAUCCUCUGCAUCUGUAAAUCUUAGAAACGAGCCGUCACAUCGACGUAACAGAUCUAAUGUACAAAGUGAAAGCUUUCCUGAAGAACAACAUUCGCCAAGACGGAAUAAUAGGAUGCACUAUGAAGAUAUGGGCAGAACCCGGCAAGAUAGCUAUGAUAGGGCAAAUGAAUCUGAUGUUCCUCUUGUACAUCAGCCAUCAGAUAGACAUCCCCUGGAUAUUUCGAGAAAUAACAGUUCCUUCGGUGAAAAAAGUAGAGGGAAGCAGCCAAGCAAGGAUGAGACGGAUUUAAAUUUUGGUCACCCUGAAGAUGUUUACCUCAUGAAGCAGUCAAGUCGCACUUCAUCGCAUUCACACUCGAGUGAUUACUCUGAUGAGAAUGUCAAUGGCUCAGAUUAUAUUAAGUCACCGAGCGUUGUGGAGGAAAACAUUUUUGCCACUUAUGAUGAUCACCAAUCUCAAAGCAGCUUUAAAGAUACAGACACCCAUUAUCAUGGACAUGAUGAUGCUACAACUGCUGAUACUUAUGAUGACUAUAGUUCGUUUUUUGAUAAACCUAAAUUCGACGCUGAAGAUAAUCAUUAUCAAGAUGAGAUUGAUCAUGGUGUGGGAUUCUCAUUGCUUGGCAGCAAAACAUCUGCGUCAGCGGCUGCCUGGAGCUUCAAAGGAGACCAUAGUAAGUCUCAUGAAGAACACAGCAGCUCGCGCUCACAAGUUUACCAUGAGAACACAAGUUCCCCAUUAUUUGAUGAUGUCUCUACAAGUCCUCUGGCUGCUUACCAUGAGCCUGAUCCACAUACCAGGUUUGACGAUUAUGGUCCAGAUUCAGAAAGCGACGGUGAUCAGCCAAAACAUAGAGGCAAAGUUUCUGGAAAUGUGCAUGAGAAGAAGGGGAAUCUGACAUCUGAUCGAUCUCAGGAAUUUAAAGUCUCUGAUUCUGCUGGACACGAAUUAUUCCCUGUAGACACAGAAGAACACAAUGAUAAUUCGAGGACACGAGAAGAAUCAGAUUCAGAGUCAGAGCCUCAGCUUGGUCUGAGGCUUGGAGCUUUGGCCGGUGGAUUUAGGAACAAAAAGACACUCCCACCUUACAGAAUGAGUCCGGCAUUGUUCAAGUCUGAAAAGGAGUAUAUCCAAACAGAUGAUUCUGGUCAGUCUAGCAGAAAAGAUCUUUACAGUAAGAAAGUAAGUAACACCGAGAUGAGACCAAGUCUUCUGCCUCCCCAUCCAUCUUCUAGUGAUGAAGACGACUCAGACAUGCAACUUCCAGGAAGAACAGAAACAAAAUCUGAUCCCUUAUUUAGUCAUUCCCGUGUCGAUCAGGACGACUUGGAGGAAGAAAAACUCCCAACUCGAUCUUCUUCAAGAAGUCAAGAGAGGACUCAUAAGCCAUCAACGGGAGUGAGAGAUUACAAGAGAACGAACUUCAAGAUGCCAGUUUCAGCAUCCUCUGAAGACGAGGAAGACAUCGAAAGAGUGGCUGAACGCAUCAAUGUCAAGCCAAAUAAACCAACUGGGUUCUCUCUAAGGACAAAGGGCCAAGCAAAAGCUCAAGAGGAGCAUUCAUUCCCUGUGACAACGAAGAAAACUGACAAAGAGCCUCAUGAUCAGCAGCCAUCUCCAAGGCACCAGACAGUAACUUCAAGCACUGUUCCACAAACUGUAAAAUCACCGGAUCCAGAAACCCCAUCAAGGGAGAGAGCUAGUCACGUUCAUCCCAACCUCCCAGAAUAUGACGAUAUCUUUGCAAGGCUCGGGGCCCUUCGUACUUCUAAUCGACGCUGAAUUUACCCAUCUUGUCCAUCUGUUCAUAUAUAUCUUCUUUGCCACAGAGAUCAGUCCCCACUCAUUCUUUACUCAUGACUGAAUUUGAUAACCUUACACAUCGACAUUAUAUAGAUUGAAGCAGUGUGCAAGAAACAAACAAACAAUGUGAACAAAGCCAGGCAAAUGUCAUGUUCUCACAGGAUUUCGACAUGUCAAAGUCCCUUCAUUA